ACUCCUGCGGGAGGCAGCAGUGGGGAAUUUUGGACAAUGGGCGAAAGCCUGAUCCAGCAAUGCCGCGUGAGUGAAGAAGGCCUUCGGGUUGUAAAGCUCUUUUGUCAGGGAAGAAACGGUGAGAGCUAAUAUCUCUUGCUAAUGACGGUACCUGAAGAAUAAGCACCGGCUAACUACGUGCCAGCAGCCGCGGUAAUACGUAGGGUGCAAGCGUUAAUCGGAAUUACUGGGCGUAAAGCGUGCGCAGGCGGUUUUGUAAGUCUGAUGUGAAAUCCCCGGGCUCAACCUGGGAAUUGCAUUGGAGACUGCAAGGCUAGAAUCUGGCAGAGGGGGGUAGAAUUCCACGUGUAGCAGUGAAAUGCGUAGAUAUGUGGAGGAACACCGAUGGCGAAGGCAGCCCCCUGGGUCAAGAUUGACGCUCAUGCACGAAAGCGUGGGGAGCAAACAGGAUUAGAUACCCCAGUAGUCCCAUG
This 473-nucleotide ribosomal RNA is filed under the name uncultured organism. RNAcentral's name for it is "partial 16S ribosomal RNA". It matches the Rfam family "Bacterial small subunit ribosomal RNA", at positions 335 to 799 of the family's 1533-position model. The record is from RNAcentral.